GAUGAACGCUGGCGGCGUGCCUAAUACAUGCAAGUCGAGCGAACAGAUGAGGAGCUUGCUCCUCUGACGUUAGCGGCGGACGGGUGAGUAACACGUGGAUAACCUACCUAUAAGACUGGGAUAACUUCGGGAAACCGGAGCUAAUACCGGAUAAUAUAUUGAACCGCAUGGUUCAAUAGUGAAAGACGGUUUUGCUGUCACUGAUAGAUGGAUCCGCGCCGCAUUAGCUAGUUGGUAAGGUAACGGCUUACCAAGGCGACGAUGCGUAGCCGACCUGAGAGGGUGAUCGGCCACACUGGAACUGAGACACGGUCCAGACUCCUACGGGAGGCAGCAGUAGGGAAUCUUCCGCAAUGGGCGAAAGCUUGACGGAGCAACGCCGCGUGAGUGAUGAAGGUCUUCGGAUCUUAAAACUCUGUUAUUAGGGAAGAACAAAUGUGUAAGUAACUAUGCACGUCUUGACGGUACCUAAUCAGAAAGCCACGGCUAACUACGUG
Molecule: ribosomal RNA, 497 nt
Filed under: uncultured bacterium
Lineage: Bacteria
Description: partial 16S ribosomal RNA
Rfam family: Bacterial small subunit ribosomal RNA
Source: RNAcentral